GAUGAACGCUGGCGGCGUGCCUAAUACAUGCAAGUCGAGCGAACGGACGAGAAGCUUGCUUCUCUGAUGUUAGCGGCGGACGGGUGAGUAACACGUGGAUAACCUACCUAUAAGACUGGGAUAACUUCGGGAAACCGUAGCUAAUACCGGAUAAUAUUUUGAACCGCAUGGUUCAAAAGUGAAAGACGGUCUUGCUGUCACUUAUAGAUGGAUCCGCGCUGCAUUAGCUAGUUGGUAAGGUAACGGCUUACCAAGGCAACGAUGCAUAGCCGACCUGAGAGGGUGAUCGGCCACACUGGAACUGAGACACGGUCCAGACUCCUACGGGAGGCAGCAGUAGGGAAUCUUCCGCAAUGGGCGAAAGCCUGACGGAGCAACGCCGCGUGAGUGAUGAAGGUCUUCGGAUCGUAAAACUCUGUAAUUAGGGAAGAACAUAUGUGUAAGUAACUGUGCACAUCUUGACGGUACCUAAUCAGAAAGCCACGGCUAACUACGUG
Molecule: ribosomal RNA, 497 nt
Filed under: uncultured bacterium
Lineage: Bacteria
Description: partial 16S ribosomal RNA
Rfam family: Bacterial small subunit ribosomal RNA
Source: RNAcentral